UGCCCCCGUAGCUCAACUGGCAGAGCAAGAGGCUUUUAACCUCGAGGCUGAGAGUUCGAAUCUCUCCGGGGGUAUCCA
This 78-nucleotide transfer RNA is filed under the name Capillimicrobium parvum. RNAcentral's name for it is "tRNA-Lys". It matches the Rfam family "tRNA". From Rfam's summary of the family: Transfer RNA (tRNA) molecules are approximately 80 nucleotides in length. Their secondary structure includes four short double-helical elements and three loops (D, anti-codon, and T loops). Lineage: Bacteria; Bacillati; Actinomycetota; Thermoleophilia; Solirubrobacterales; Capillimicrobiaceae. The record is from RNAcentral.